Molecule: ribosomal RNA, 428 nt
Filed under: uncultured archaeon
Lineage: Archaea
Description: bacterial SSU rRNA
Rfam family: Archaeal small subunit ribosomal RNA
Source: RNAcentral
UACCAGCUCUUCGAGUGGUGUGGAUGUUUAUUGGGCCUAAAGCAUCCGUAGCUGGCUGGACAAGUCCCCUGUUAAAUCCACCGAUUUAAUCGUUGGAGUGCGGGGGAUACUGUUCGGCUAGGGGACGGGAGAGGCAGACGGUAUUUUCGGGGUAGGGGUGAAAUCCUAUAAUCCCGGGAAGACCACCAGUGGCGAAGGCUGUCUGCUAGAACGCGCCCGACGGUGAGGGAUGAAAGCUGGGGGAGCGAACCGGAUUAGAUACCCGGGUAGUCCCAGCUGUAAACGAUGCAGGCUAGGUGUUUGGGCGGCCACGUGCCGCUCUAGUGCCGCAGGGAAGCCGUUAAGCCUGCCGCCUGGGGAGUACGGCCGCAAGGCUGAAACUUAAAGGAAUUGGCGGGGAGCACCACAAGGGGUGAAGCUUGCGGUUU